Molecule: ribosomal RNA, 253 nt
Filed under: uncultured bacterium
Lineage: Bacteria
Description: partial 16S ribosomal RNA
Rfam family: Bacterial small subunit ribosomal RNA
Source: RNAcentral
UACGAAGGGGGCUAGCGUUGUUCGGAAUUACUGGGCGUAAAGCGCGCGCAGGCGGUCUUCCAAGUCAGUGGUGAAAGCCUGGAGCUCAACUCCAGAACUGCCAUUGAAACUGUUAGACUUGAGUACGAGAGAGGUGAGUGGAAUUCCCAGUGUAGAGGUGAAGUUCGUAGAUAUUGGGAAGAACACCAGUGGCGAAGGCGGCUCACUGGCUCGUAACUGACGCUCAGGCGCGACAGUGUGGGGAGCAAACAGG